This 490-nucleotide ribosomal RNA is filed under the name uncultured bacterium. Its description in RNAcentral is "partial 16S ribosomal RNA". It matches the Rfam family "Bacterial small subunit ribosomal RNA", at positions 30 to 507 of the family's 1533-position model. The record is from RNAcentral.
AUUGAACGCUGGCGGCAGGCCUAACACAUGCAAGUCGAACGGUAACAGGAAGCAGCUUGCUGCUUUGCUGACGAGUGGCGGACGGGUGAGUAAUGUCUGGGAAACUGCCCGAUGGAGGGGGAUAACUACUGGAAACGGUAGCUAAUACCGCAUAACGUCGCAAGCCCAAAGAGGGGGACCUUAGGGCCUCUUGCCAUCGGAUGUGCCCAGAUGGGAUUAGCUAGUAGGUGGGGUAACGGCUCACCUAGGCGACGAUCCCUAGCUGGUCUGAGAGGAUGACCAGCCACACUGGAACUGAGACACGGUCCAGACUCCUACGGGAGGCAGCAGUGGGGAAUAUUGCACAACGGGCGCAAGCCUGAUGCAGCCAUGCCGCGUGUAUGAAGAAGGCCUUCGGGUUGUAAAGUACUUUCAGCGGGGAGGAAGGGAGUAAAGUUAAUACCUUUGCUCAUUGACGUUACCCGCAGAAGAAGCACCGGCUAACUCCGUG